This 235-nucleotide ribosomal RNA is filed under the name uncultured eukaryote. Its description in RNAcentral is "partial small subunit ribosomal RNA". It matches the Rfam family "Eukaryotic small subunit ribosomal RNA", at positions 587 to 826 of the family's 1831-position model. The record is from RNAcentral.
AGCUCCAAUAGCGUAUAUUAAAGUUGUUGCAGUUAAAACGCUCGUAGUCGGAUUUCGGGGCGGUCUCGCCGGUCUGCCGAUGGGUAUGCACUGGCAGGGCCGUCCUUCCUUCCGGAGACUGCGCCUACUCUUAGCUGAGCGGGUGCGGGAGACGGAUCGUUUACUUUGAAAAAAUCAGAGUGUUUCAAGCAGGCAGCUCGCUUUUGCAUGGAUUAGCAUGGGAUAAUGAAAUAGG